CACGAAGUUAGCCGGGGCUUCUUCUCACGCUACCGUCAUCAUCGUCGCGUGCGAAAGAGCUUUACAACCCGAAGGCCUUCAUCACUCACGCGGCAUUGCUGGAUCAGGCUUGCGCCCAUUGUCCAAUAUUCCCCACUGCUGCCUCCCGUAGGAGUCGUGGGCCGUGUCUCAGUCCCAGUGUGGCUGAUCAUCCUCUCAGACCAGCUAAGGAUCGUUGCCUUGGUAGGCCCGUUACCCCACCAACAAGCUAAUCCUACGCGGGCCCAUCCCAUGGCGAUAAAUCUUUGUCCCUCAAGACACAUACGGUAUUAGCUCCAGUUUCCCGGAGUUAUUCCGUACCACAGGGCAGGUUCCCACGUCGUUACUCACCCGUGCCGACCACGUACGGGCCGAAACGCCCCUACGUUCGACUUGCAGUGUGUUAGGCAUCGCCGCCAGCGUUUCGUUCUGA
This 451-nucleotide ribosomal RNA is filed under the name uncultured Skermanella sp. RNAcentral's name for it is "partial 16S ribosomal RNA". Lineage: Bacteria; Pseudomonadati; Pseudomonadota; Alphaproteobacteria; Rhodospirillales; Azospirillaceae. The record is from RNAcentral.